AGCUGUAGAAGAUGUUACAGAAAAGAAAGCAAAAAAAUAUUAAAGCCAAAACAAAACCUCCCAGGAAGACUUGGGUUUUACUUGCAUCCUACUGAUGCAGUACUGAUUUUCUGGAGGACAUAUUAACAGUCUAAUUUCAAGCAAAAUCAAGGCAGAAACAAUCUCCCCUCUACUUCCUUUCCAAAAGAAAUUUCAGGCUAUGACACAGCCUCCUAAGAGUGUUAAAAACAGAACACCUCCAAGUCAGAAGCAACCUGAAAAGAUGAUCUGGUUCAACUUUCUGUGGGAACAGGAGCCUAGAUGAGAUUAUCUAGUACCAUGUCCAUUUACCUCUUGAAAAGCUGC
Long non-coding RNA from Passer domesticus (house sparrow), 345 nucleotides. RefSeq lists it as uncharacterized. The transcript has 3 exons. The record is from RefSeq and is a predicted model, not a curated record. NCBI's taxonomy places the organism in Eukaryota, Metazoa, Chordata, Aves, Passeriformes, Passeridae.